CACGCCGUAAACGAUGUCAACUAGCCGUUGGUUCCAUUUAAGGGAUCAGUGGCGCAGCUAACGCGAUAAGUUGACCGCCUGGGGAGUACGCCGGCAACGGUAAAACUCAAAGGAAUUGACGGGGGCCCGCACAAGCGGUGGAGCAUGUGGUUUAAUUCGAUGCAACGCGAAAAACCUUACCUACCCUUGACAUCAUCGGAACUUGUCAGAGAUGACUCGGUGCCUUCGGGAACCGAUAGACAG
RNAcentral lists this ribosomal RNA (243 nucleotides) under uncultured bacterium. RNAcentral describes it as "partial 16S ribosomal RNA". It matches the Rfam family "Bacterial small subunit ribosomal RNA", at positions 796 to 1037 of the family's 1533-position model. The record is from RNAcentral.